Molecule: non-coding RNA, 71 nt
Organism: Albula goreensis
Lineage: Eukaryota; Metazoa; Chordata; Actinopteri; Albuliformes; Albulidae
Source: the annotation of a GenBank genome assembly
GCCCCGGUAGCUCAGCUGGUAGAGCGCAUGCCAUGUACGCAGCAGCCCAGGUUUGAAGCCGGCCCGGGUCC